AGUGAACGCUGGCGGUAGGCCUAACACAUGCAAGUCGAACGGCAGCACAGUAAGAGCUUGCUCUUACGGGUGGCGAGUGGCGGACGGGUGAGGAAUACAUCGGAAUCUACUUUUUCGUGGGGGAUAACGUGGGGAAACUUACGCUAAUACCGCAUACGACCUACGGGUGACAGCAGGGGAUCUUCGGACCUUGCGCGAUUGAAUGAGCCGAUGUCGGAUUAGCUAGUUGGCGGGGUAAAGGCCCACCAAGGCGACGCUCCGUAGCUGGUCUGAGAGGAUGAUCAGCCACACUGGAACUGAGACACGGUCCAGACUCCUACGCGAGGCAGCAGUGGGGAAUAUUGGACAAUGGGCGCAAGCCGGAUCCAGCCAUACCGCGUGGGUGAAGAAGGCCUUCGGGUUGGAAAGCCCUUUUGUUGGGAAAGAAAAGCAGCAGGUUAAUACCCCGCUGUUCUGACGGUACCAAAAGAAUAAGCACCGGCUAACUUCGUG
RNAcentral lists this ribosomal RNA (492 nucleotides) under uncultured bacterium. RNAcentral's name for it is "partial 16S ribosomal RNA". It matches the Rfam family "Bacterial small subunit ribosomal RNA", at positions 29 to 507 of the family's 1533-position model. The record is from RNAcentral.